CAAUAGCGUAUAUUAAAGUUGUUGCAGUUAAAAAGCUCGUAGUUGGAUUUCUGGUGGGAGCGAUCGGUCUGGCGCUUAGCGCGAGUACUUGCAUCGUCUCCGGCCAUCCUUGGGGAGAGUCUGUCUGGCAUUAGGUUGUCGGGCAGAGGAUCCUCAUCGUUUACUGUGAAAAAAUUAGAGUGUUCAAAGCAGGCUUAUGCCGUUGAAUAUAUUAGCAUGGAAUAAUAAGAUAGGACUUUGGUACUAUUUUGUUGGUUUGCGCACCAAAGUAAUGAUUAAUAGGGACAGUUGGGGGUAUUCGUAUCCCGUUGUCAGAGGUGAAAUUCUUGGAUUUACGGAAGACGAACUACUGCGAAAGCAUUUACCAAGGAUGUUUUCAUUAA
Molecule: ribosomal RNA, 383 nt
Filed under: uncultured eukaryote
Lineage: Eukaryota
Description: partial 18S ribosomal RNA
Rfam family: Eukaryotic small subunit ribosomal RNA
Source: RNAcentral